This 72-nucleotide transfer RNA is filed under the name Blochmannia endosymbiont of Camponotus (Colobopsis) obliquus. RNAcentral's name for it is "tRNA-Cys (GCA) (tRNA-Cys-GCA-1-1)". It matches the Rfam family "tRNA". From Rfam's summary of the family: Transfer RNA (tRNA) molecules are approximately 80 nucleotides in length. Their secondary structure includes four short double-helical elements and three loops (D, anti-codon, and T loops). Further hydrogen bonds mediate the characteristic L-shaped molecular structure. tRNAs have two regions of fundamental functional importance: the anti-codon, which is responsible for specific mRNA codon recognition, and the 3' end, to which the tRNAs corresponding amino acid is attached (by aminoacyl-tRNA synthetases). tRNAs cope with the degeneracy of the genetic code in two manners: having more than one tRNA (with a specific anti-codon) for a particular amino acid; and 'wobble' base-pairing, i.e. permitting non-standard base-pairing at the 3rd anti-codon position. Lineage: Bacteria; Pseudomonadati; Pseudomonadota; Gammaproteobacteria; Enterobacterales; Enterobacteriaceae. The record is from Rfam by way of RNAcentral.
GGCACGUUAGCAGAGUGGAUAUGCAGCGGAUUGCAAAUCCGUUUUACUUCGGUUCGAUUCCGAAACGUGCCU